RNAcentral lists this ribosomal RNA (276 nucleotides) under uncultured Staphylococcus sp. Its description in RNAcentral is "partial 16S ribosomal RNA". It matches the Rfam family "Bacterial small subunit ribosomal RNA", at positions 86 to 354 of the family's 1533-position model. The record is from RNAcentral. Lineage: Bacteria; Bacillati; Bacillota; Bacilli; Caryophanales; Staphylococcaceae.
CUGACGUUAGCGGCGGACGGGUGAGUAACACGUGGGUAACCUACCUAUAAGACUGGGAUAACUCCGGGAAACCGGGGCUAAUACCGGAUAACACAUGAAACCGCAUGGUUUCAUGAUGAAAGACGGUUUUGCUGUCACUUAUAGAUGGACCCGCGGCGUAUUAGCUAGUUGGUAAGGUAACGGCUUACCAAGGCAACGAUACGUAGCCGACCUGAGAGGGUGAUCGGCCACACUGGAACUGAGACACGGUCCAGACUCCUACGGGAGGCAGCAGGU